RNAcentral lists this ribosomal RNA (497 nucleotides) under uncultured bacterium. Its description in RNAcentral is "partial 16S ribosomal RNA". It matches the Rfam family "Bacterial small subunit ribosomal RNA", at positions 28 to 507 of the family's 1533-position model. The record is from RNAcentral.
GAUGAACGCUGGCGGCGUGCCUAAUACAUGCAAGUCGAGCGAACAGAUGAGGAGCUUGCUCCUCUGACGUUAGCGGCGGCCGGGUGAGUAACACGUGGAUAACCUACCUAUAAGACUGGGAUAACUUCGGGAAACCGGAGCUAAUACCGGAUAAUAUAUUGAACCGCAUGGUUCAAUAGUGAAAGACGGUUUUGCUGUCACUUAUAGAUGGCUCCGCGCCGCAUUAGCUAGUUGGUAAGGUAACGGCUUACCAAGGCAACGAUGCGUAGCCGACCUGAGAGGGUGAUCGGCCACACUGGAAAGGAGACACGGUCCAGACUCCUACGGGAGGCAGCAGUAGGGAAUCUUCCGCAAUGGGCGAAAGCCUGACGGAGCAACGCCGCGUGAGUGAUGAAGGUCUUCGGAUCGUAAAACUCUGUUAUUAGGGAAGAACAAAUGUGUAAGUAACUAUGCACGUCUUGACGGUACCUAAUCAGAAAGCCACGGCUAACUACGUG